UCCUCCUGCCUCAGCCUUCCAAAGUGUUGGGAUGACAGGCCAUGGUUUUGCGGGAGGAGGAGCUACGUCAGUCUGCCUUGGAGCUCAGCACCGUGUUUGGCCCAUGGUAGAUGCCCCACAGAAAACACAAGCGGCGUUGAGGGCUCCUGUGCCCUUCAGGGUGAAGGCUAAGGUGACGUUCAUUGCCCGGGGAAGUAAGUGUAGGGUUGAAUCGAAGCAAGUCAUCCAGGACGGAUGAGGUAGGACGGGAUGGAGAGAUACAGCUACUGAACAGCAGGACUCAAGGAAGAGAGAAGGUGAGAAGCAAAAAGCUCUGUCCCUCACCCCAGUGGACACUCAGAGGGCUGUGUGGGAGACACCCCAGCCACAUUUGCAGCUAAAUUUCACCGCACAAGGUAGGUGGAAUUUGACUCUCAGAUGACAGCUGUGGGGAAUUUCAGUGAACUCCUUUAAGAAAGCAGUGAUUGAGGAAGGUGUAACACAUUAUGGCGCUGCCCAGGAGGUAGUUUAGAAAUGUCUAAAGAAGCAGUCUAGGAAGUGGCUCUCGGAACUCUGCCUCUUCUGGAGGGGUAGAAUGCAGCCAGGCGGUCCUAGGUCCCAGGGAAAGGGUAGAAAUCAAGGCCACAGGCCAGGUGUGGUGACUCACACCUGUAAUCCCAGAACUUUGGGAGGCCGAGGCAGGUGGAUCACCUGAGGUCGGGAGCUUGAGACGAGCCUAACCAACAUGGAGAAGCCCCGUCUCUACUAAAAAUACAAAAUUAGCCAGGCAUGGUGGCACAUGCCUGUAAUCCCAGCUACUUGGGAGGCUGAGGCAGGAGAAUCACUUGAACCCGGGAGGCGGAGGUUGUGAUGAGCUGAGAUCACGCCAUUGUACUCCAGCCUGGGCAAAAAGAGCAAAACUCUGUCUCAAAGAAAAAAAAAAAAAAAGAGAAAUCAAGAACACAGAGGUAGGAUCUGCACCACCAGCCUUGUGCGGGGACCACUCACUUCAUCAGUACCCCUCUCCAUCCCCAACCAUCACCAAUGCCACCAGGGAUCCCAGGGACCAGGCCCGACCAGCCCUGUCCCAUUGUGUGUGGGGAAGGUAUGUGGGAAGAAUGCAGAGAACUCCACACCGACCUUGAAC
Homo sapiens (human) is the source of this 1126-nucleotide long non-coding RNA. RefSeq lists it as uncharacterized. The record is from RefSeq and is a predicted model, not a curated record. NCBI's taxonomy places the organism in Eukaryota, Metazoa, Chordata, Mammalia, Primates, Hominidae. The transcript is spliced from 3 exons.